UACGUAGGGGGCAAGCGUUAUCCGGAUUUACUGGGUGUAAAGGGAGCGUAGACGGCGAUGCAAGUCUGAAGUGAAAGCCCGGGGCUCAACUCCGGGACUGCUUUGGAAACUGUAUGGCUGGAGUGCCGGAGAGGCAAGCGGAAUUCCUAGUGUAGCGGUGAAAUGCGUAGAUAUUAGGAAGAACACCAGUGGCGAAGGCGGCUUGCUGGACAGUAACUGACGUUGAGGCUCGAAAGCGUGGGGAGCAAGCAGG
This 253-nucleotide ribosomal RNA is filed under the name uncultured bacterium. Its description in RNAcentral is "partial 16S ribosomal RNA". It matches the Rfam family "Bacterial small subunit ribosomal RNA", at positions 524 to 776 of the family's 1533-position model. The record is from RNAcentral.